This 1912-nucleotide long non-coding RNA is filed under the name Equus caballus (horse). Its description in RNAcentral is "lncRNA (ENSECAG00000044332.1)". The record is from RNAcentral. Lineage: Eukaryota; Metazoa; Chordata; Mammalia; Perissodactyla; Equidae.
GGGACAUUCUCCUCAGUUCUGGGGCUGGUCCUCAGCAUCUGAGACGCAAAACCCCAGAAGGAUGCACUUUGAGAGUGUGCCUACAUGGACUAAGAUAAAAGACUGAUGAUGUGCUCGUUCCUUUACUCCCAGGUCAACAAAGUUUAGGGUGAACCAUAUGAAUGAUUUUGUGGACAAAAGACCUAUUUUUCAGAUAUUGGAAUCUCCCAUCUAAUACUAUUCUUGAGCCCCUCCCAUGUCCCCUGCCUGUUUCAGGUGCUGGACUCAGAAGGUGAAAGUGACAGCCCAGGUCCCUGACACUGGGCAUGUCAUUCAGUGCACGACCUAUAGCCUGGGUGGUGCACACAGUGACCUGGUGUUGAGUCUGAUAUUCACGGUGGAACGGCUGCCCCUUUUCCAGUCCUCAGGCCUUGGGACAACACCACCAGAACGGCCCAUUCAAGUUCAAGGGCCAUCCAUCACCUGCACGAGCGACUACAGUGGAAAGAAACCGUCCUGGAGGAGGCUGUGAAACAUGUGAGUCAGUCAGUCUGGAAUUUAAAUAUUGCAAACCAACCACAAUGUGGUUAAUCCUUAGCCCGGCCGCCUUUCAAGGGAGCAAAAUAGAAUUUAGUGAAGCGGAAAAGACAGUUUACGAAAUUGAUAACUGUCACCUUGAGGAAUUUCCUAAGCACGGCCCCCAAGUCCAGCCCAAAUCCGGCCCUCGGAGCUCUUUACAGGUUGCUCGCUAAUUCUCCAGAGUCCGCAAUGUUGGAAGGAGGAGAGCUGUCACGGCAGGUCAGCAUGGGACGCUGAUGGACGGAAGGGCCUCGGAGGCCCCGGGUGCAUCAGGAAUUGCAUCAGGAAGGGAGGAGGCCAGAGGACCCAGGGACAGGAGCAGGCGGCACGCCUACGGAGAAGAGUUAACUGGGCGGAGCGGGGAAGGAGCAACUCUGGACGGGGCCAGUCCAGGCCUGGCCACUGGAGAUGGGCCUUGAAUCCCUGAAUCUCCGACCCCAACCAUGCGUCCCUGCAUCCAGCCCAACCCCGAUCAGAGAGGGCAAGGCGCAAAAAAUGUCCCCUGAGUGACGGAGCUUGAUUAGUUAGUUACAGAUUUGGAAGCACCUCAUACGGCACAAAAUUAGAAUAUUUCUGAAUAACGUUUUUGAAACCGUGAGGGUCCCAGGCACUGAAGAGUCCUUUGGGCCGUCAAGAGCAACAGCACGGUGAAAAACGUGACUGCUGGAAACUUUUCCUCAAAAGUCCAAUCGCUGGGAAGACUCCGGGCGUGACACAAAUUUAUGUGUCCAUCUCUGGCCAGGGGCGCCCAGAGAUUCAGCUAAACAAGAUCCUGGGUAUGUCCAUGAGGGUGUUUCUGGGUGAGAUUAGCAUUUGGCCUUGCAGACGGAGUAAAGCCCUCCCCAGUGUCGGUGGGCAUCUUCAGACCCACUGAGGCCUGAAUGGAACCGAAGGGCUGAGGAGGGAGAAUUCGCUCUGUGCCCGACUGUCUUCGAGCUGGGACGUCGGCCUUCUCCUCCCUUUGGACUCGGACUGGGACUUGGGCCAGCUGCACUCCUGGGUCUCCAGCCUGCAAAGAGCAGACCGCAGGACUUCUCAGCCUCCAGGACCAAGUGAGCCAGUUCCUUAAAUUAAACCGUAUUUGUAUGCUGCACUUCUCUGGGAAACCCAGACUAGCACACUCAUGUUCAUCACGCAAGGCAGGAAUCAAAUCACACUUGUAAGAUGACACUGGUUUUGACAAUUUCAUAGACAUAAAUACCUACAUACACGUGCAUUGAACAGUUUGGGAAGAAAUUCAGCAAAAAAUUCUGGUGGUUGAAAUUGAGUUGUGAGACUAUAAAGAAUUUUUUGCUUUUUAUACUUUUCUCUGUUUUUCCUGUAUACUACAACAUGUGUAAUUUACUUUCACCAG